This 213-nucleotide ribosomal RNA is filed under the name Citrobacter freundii. RNAcentral's name for it is "partial 23S ribosomal RNA". It matches the Rfam family "Bacterial large subunit ribosomal RNA", at positions 2718 to 2925 of the family's 2925-position model. The record is from RNAcentral. RNAcentral also lists the same sequence under 2 other names. Lineage: Bacteria; Pseudomonadati; Pseudomonadota; Gammaproteobacteria; Enterobacterales; Enterobacteriaceae.
GGGUUGUCAUGCCAAUGGCAUUGCCCGGUAGCUAAAUGCGGAAGAGAUAAGUGCUGAAAGCAUCUAAGCACGAAACUUGCCCCGAGAUGAGUUCUCCCUGAGACUUUAAGUCUCCUGAAGGAACGUUGAAGACGACGACGUUGAUAGGUCGGGUGUGUAAGUGUAGCGAUACAUUGAGCUAACCGAUACUAAUGAACCGUGAGGCUUAACCUU